AUGUGGACAUUCCAAAGAAUAUUUGAUGAUGUUUUUAAAAGCCUUCAAGCUACAAGGUGGACAUUGGGAAUAAUGGGGAUGCUGCUAACAGAGAAUGAUGAACUUAGGAGACUCGUGAGAAGGUGUAUAGAAGGAGGCAUACAUCCUGCAAGGAGAUCUCACAAAAAGGAAAACCACAAGAGAAGUUGUAGAGAUGGCUGGAGCUGCACCACGGAGGCCCUGGUUCAUCAUUUUUUAGUGUUUAGACUUUGCCGGAGUGUAAAUAAGUGGGUUCAGCCUGGCUGUUACUGCCCCAUACAACACUGAAAUGAUCUUACCCUCAUCCUGGGAAGAUUGAGAGUGUGGGCACAUGUACGUGAAGAUUGCUGUGCCAUAGUAAAUGAUGCCCACGGUCAAGUGGAAGCCACAGGUAGGAAAAGCCUGGAGUCUGGCCUCUGCAGAGUGGAUCUUCAGGAUAGCCACAGCAUAACUAUACCAUUCUGGAGCUGAAAAGAACUCAAAGAACCAGUGUGAACCAUUGGAAACAAUACUGAAGUAAGGGCAUUUUAGUUUUGGUUUGACCGUUUACUUGCUGUGUGACCUAACUGGGCUGCUGUUUCAUUA
Molecule: long non-coding RNA, 603 nt
Filed under: Felis catus (domestic cat)
Lineage: Eukaryota; Metazoa; Chordata; Mammalia; Carnivora; Felidae
Description: lncRNA (ENSFCAG00000052585.1)
Source: RNAcentral